Molecule: ribosomal RNA, 478 nt
Filed under: uncultured bacterium
Lineage: Bacteria
Description: partial 16S ribosomal RNA
Rfam family: Bacterial small subunit ribosomal RNA
Source: RNAcentral
GACGAACGCUGGCGGCGUGCUUAACACAUGCAAGUCGAACGGUAAGGCCCUUCGGGGUACACGAGUGGCGAACGGGUGAGUAACACGUGGGUGAUCUGCCCUGCACUUCGGGAUAAGCCUGGGAAACUGGGUCUAAUACCGGAUAGGACCACUGCCUGCAUGGGUGGUGGUGGAAAGCUUUUGCGGUGGGGGAUGGGUCCGCGGCCUAUCAGCUUGUUGGUGGGGUGAUGGCCUACCAAGGCGACGACGGGUAGCCGGCCUGAGAGGGUGACUGGCCACACUGGGACUGAGAUACGGCCCAGACUCCUACGGGAGGCAGCAGUGGGGAAUAUUGCACAAUGGGCGCAAGCCUGAUGCAGCGACGCCGCGUGAGGGAUGACGGCCUUCGGGUUGUAAACCUCUUUCAGCACCGACGAAGCGCAAGUGACGGUAGGUGCAGAAGAAGGACCGGCCAACUACGUGCCAGCCGCCGCCGUAA